CCUACGGGUGGCAGCAGUGGGGAAUAUUGCACAAUGGGGGAAACCCUGAUGCAGCGACGCCGCGUGAGCGAAGAAGUAUUUCGGUAUGUAAAGCUCUAUCAGCAGGAACGAGACAAGACGGUACCUGACUAAUAAGCCCCUGCUAAGUACGUGCCAGCAGCCGCGGUAAUACGUAGGGUGCAAGCGUUAUCCGGAAUCACUGGGUGUAAAGGGAGCGUAGACGGCUGAGCAAGCCUGAAGUGAAAGGCGGGGGCCCAACCCGCGGAUUGCUUUGGGAACUGUACGGCUGGAGUGCAGGUGAGGUAAGUGGAAUUCCUAGUGUAGCGGUGAAAUGCGUAGAUAUGAGGAGGAACACCAGUGGCGAAGGCGGCUUACUGGACUGUAACUGACGUUGAGGCUCGAAAGCGUGGGGAGCAAACAGGAUUAGAUACCCGAGUAGUC
This 441-nucleotide ribosomal RNA is filed under the name uncultured bacterium. RNAcentral describes it as "partial 16S ribosomal RNA". It matches the Rfam family "Bacterial small subunit ribosomal RNA", at positions 338 to 795 of the family's 1533-position model. The record is from RNAcentral.